AAAGUCGUAACAAGGUCUCCGUUGGUGAACCAGCGGAGGGAUCAUUACCGAGUUAUACUACUCCAAACCCUUUGUGAACCUUACCUUUUACUGCUGUUGCCUCGGCGGACGGCCGGGAGACCCCCGGCCCCCGCCGGCAGCACCAAACUCUUGAAUUUAUAGCGAUCUUACUUCUGAAUUACAAAACAAACGAAUUAAAACUUUCAACAACGGAUCUCUUGGUUCUG
This 227-nucleotide unclassified non-coding RNA is filed under the name fungal sp. RNAcentral describes it as "partial contains small subunit ribosomal RNA, internal transcribed spacer 1, and 5.8S ribosomal RNA". The stretch from base 1 to 47 matches the Rfam family "Eukaryotic small subunit ribosomal RNA", at positions 1785 to 1831 of the family's 1831-position model. Lineage: Eukaryota; Fungi. The record is from RNAcentral.